Long non-coding RNA from Cannabis sativa, 1309 nucleotides. RefSeq lists it as uncharacterized. The transcript has 2 exons. The record is from RefSeq and is a predicted model, not a curated record. NCBI's taxonomy places the organism in Eukaryota, Viridiplantae, Streptophyta, Magnoliopsida, Rosales, Cannabaceae.
CAAUACACCACUUUUUUAGCAUUCCAUUAAAAUACUCUAAGGCUGUGAGGGAAAUUGAAAAUUGUUAAUGUACUAGUUAAUGUCUAUUUGUGUAUCAUUAUUCCCUGUAGUGUAGCAGUGGGACCUUAAUUCAUUAAUGGGAAGUGUAUUUGAUAAAAUCCAAUUACCAAGAAAGAAAGAAAAAGUGACAAAGUAGAGAAGAAAAGACAAGUUUGCUUGCUUACAAAGCAGCACUCAAUACACGAAUUAAUCCCGUUUUAAAAAGCACAAACUUUCGAAAUUAAAACUAUUUUGGCUAUUAUUGAGCAACGCCAUUGGUUUUCCAAACCACAUAAGAGAUCGAGUUGCAACCAGUUCUAAGAAUACCAAUAUCAUUUAAAAUUACAAUAUCUAAUCAGCAUUUCUUAUCCUUUUGCAAAACUUGAGAUUAAUCUCGAUGGUGAAGCUAUUGAGAUUAAUCUCUUUCGCUAGUAAAAGUCCAGUCUUGAUAGCAACAAGUUCUGCAUUUAACACGCACAUAUUUCUUUAGAUGAAACAAGUCUUGGCAGAGAUGCAAUGUCCCUAAAAAUCUCGAACAACUACUCCAAUUCUGCUACCAUCUACACCAGAUUUGAUACUUUCGUCCACAUUAAUUUUGACAGUAUUGAUGGAAGCUUGGUUUGGAUGCCAAAGUCAUGGAGAAUGGAAUGGAGCCAAGUUAAUUCACAAGCUGCACCAGCCAUUGCUCUGUAUUCUGCUUCAGCAGAAGAGCAAGAUACUCUAUGUUGUUUUUUGGACUUCCAGGAGAUGAGAGAUUUGCCAAGGAAGACACAAUAACCUGAGAUGGAUCGCCUAGUGUCCAAGCAUGCUCCCCAAUCUGCAUAUGCAAAAGCUUGAAGGUGUAUUGGUUCUGGUGUGGAGGUAUAAAAGAAGAGUCCUUGUCUAGGUGUUCCUUUUAGUUAUUGCAGUAUGCAAUUAGUUGCUUGGAGGUGUGGCUCUCUUGGAGCUUAAAGAUAUUGAAUUAGUUUGUUUACAGAAAAGAAAACAUCGGGUCUUGUUAUGGUUAGGUAUAUGAGUUUGUCAAUUAAGCUUCUGUAUUGGGUAGGGCUAGUUAGGAGUUUUCUUGACUCAUUGUUGAGCUUGUUAUUAGGUUCCAUGGGAGUUGAAAAUGGUUUAAUACCUAGGCAGCCAGUGUCUUGUAAUAGUUGUAGGGUAAAGGGCCUUUGUGUGACAGAAAUUGUAACGCCCUAAUGCUAAGGCACGCUACAGUGAUUUUUCAAUUGCAGUGCUAUCUUUGCUAAUCAAAGAAUUUCUUGAAAAUUGUGUCAAA